Long non-coding RNA from Pelodiscus sinensis (Chinese soft-shelled turtle), 1092 nucleotides. RefSeq lists it as uncharacterized. The record is from RefSeq and is a predicted model, not a curated record. NCBI's taxonomy places the organism in Eukaryota, Metazoa, Chordata, Testudines, Trionychidae.
ACAUAUUUUUUCCUUUUGUUUUACCAGGAUUCAAGAAAUGUCUGUAUUAGCUUCCCUUUCUCAAUUUCAAGUGUUUUCAUCGUCACUUUCAAGACCUUUAAACAGAUCUCUCCCCAUACUUACACACUUCUGACUCUUAAUCCUCUUCCAGCUCUGCCAAAGUUGCCAGCCUUAAAUCCUCUUUUGUCCUGUUGUUCCUAUAAAUUUUCACAUGCUUUUUACCUUGCUGCUCCUGGUGGAUAGAAUACUCUCCCUAAACUAGUCUGUGGAAACCACUAUUAUCUACUAUAAUGCAAAGAAUAAUAUACACCUUAUUUUAUAUAGAUAGACAAUGAACAGGUCUUGGUUAAAGCUAGGCUGUAGUGAGGAAUCAGUUUCACUAGCCCCACUAGGGCUUUGACAAAACUUAUCUACAGUAUUUAAAAUGCUGUACUAGGAUGAAAAGGGCAUUCUGAGUGCAAUUUUUCUGUAUUAAUAUCAUAUAUAACAUGUUUGUCUAGCAUCAAACAUCUGUUGCGGAGUUCAGAGGAUCUGAAGCCAAACUUAUUUGUCAGUGUUAACAUUUUCUUGUUUUGCUCAUGUUGUCAGAACUGGGAAAGAAAUCAUUCACUUGCACUGUGUCUUAUUUCCUGGCACCUGUUGAUGCUUUGUUCUGAGAACAUUCUUUGCAGGAACAUAAAGCAAAGAUGCAUGUGAAAGGAAGUUUCCAUGUUUGGUGUGGUGAAGGAGUUGGAGAGAUGAAAAGGGAAUGGACACACUCCUCUUCCAACUGCUGUUUCAUACUAAGAGAAUGAGGGAGAAUUAUUAACUCAGGACCAGACCAUAAUGUCCUUGUGGCAAAUAGCACCUUCUUCCGUGAACAAUCCCUACUGAAGUCAUCAGAGUAAGAUGAUCCUGAAGAUUGGAAUACUGAACUUCCCUUCAAACCUUUAGCAGCACCCGAACAGAUUUGUACAGUAAACAACUGCAUCAUCUCUGACUCUGAAAUGUGGGAUUCAGCAACAGAUUUAUUGUCAAAGUUUUCACGAAGAAGGCCGAUGGUGAUUGGGAGACUACAACAGUGAAUGCUGGAGAAAAGGAGGCUGGUUCAGA